GGGGCCGUAGCUCAAUCGGGAGAGCGCCUUUUUUGCUAGCAGGAGGUUGGGGGUUCGAUUCCCCCGGUUCCA
Molecule: transfer RNA, 72 nt
Filed under: Halioglobus sp. HI00S01
Lineage: Bacteria; Pseudomonadati; Pseudomonadota; Gammaproteobacteria; Cellvibrionales; Halieaceae
Rfam family: tRNA
About the family: Transfer RNA (tRNA) molecules are approximately 80 nucleotides in length. Their secondary structure includes four short double-helical elements and three loops (D, anti-codon, and T loops). Further hydrogen bonds mediate the characteristic L-shaped molecular structure. tRNAs have two regions of fundamental functional importance: the anti-codon, which is responsible for specific mRNA codon recognition, and the 3' end, to which the tRNAs corresponding amino acid is attached (by aminoacyl-tRNA synthetases). tRNAs cope with the degeneracy of the genetic code in two manners: having more than one tRNA (with a specific anti-codon) for a particular amino acid; and 'wobble' base-pairing, i.e. permitting non-standard base-pairing at the 3rd anti-codon position.
Source: Rfam by way of RNAcentral